AAAUUAACAAUAGGACGGUCGUUUUAAAUAUAAUGCUGCGAUGCUAAAAAAAUUAUUAUAUAAUCCAUUAUAAUUUAAGAAUCUGUUUAUUUUACGGUGUCAAUAUAGAAUACAACACAACCUUGUACUGUAAUAAGCUUCCAAACCAAUAAAAACAAUUGAUUAAAAAUUCUAAAAAAAAAUGUUGGAUUCAAAUACCAAAGUAUACUGAAGCAUGUAAUAUACUAGUAAUUGAACAAAUUGUCUUCAUUAAAUGUUUAUGAAGUGCAGUUCUUAGCCCUAAUACUAAACUCAAUAAAUGUGUUGUAAUGGACAUUAAUGUUAUGGAAUACCUAUAAAUACCAACAUGUUCCUACACAUCUCAAAUAAAAAAUAACGUGACUGUUUACUUUGGAAUUUUGGUCUACUAAAUGAACAUUAAACAGUCUACAGUCAAUAUGAGUCAAAUACUAGACUGUCAUUCAGACGAUGUUUUACGAACCCCACGCCGCCGCCUCCGUGAAUGAUACACGUCGCGCGUAAUGCGCUGCGGCGGCGACCAACCAAAUUUUUGAAAAUGCUCUUCGUCAUGCACAAUAAAUUAGAGCUUAUCCUGAUUCAGAUUAUUAUAUUUUGUUUAUUUCUGUACGUUUAGCUCGUUCUCGAGAAAUAGAGUGGACAAACAUACAUAGGGCCGGCUCAGGCGAAAAUAGUGAACUAGUCAAAACCAAAUUUUGCCGCCCCUAACAAUAUUAUAUUAUCAGUAUUUUGAAAAUGCCGCCC
Metopolophium dirhodum (rose-grain aphid) is the source of this 762-nucleotide long non-coding RNA. RefSeq lists it as uncharacterized. The transcript has 3 exons. Lineage: Eukaryota; Metazoa; Arthropoda; Insecta; Hemiptera; Aphididae. The record is from RefSeq and is a predicted model, not a curated record.